Octopus sinensis (East Asian common octopus) is the source of this 111-nucleotide long non-coding RNA. RefSeq lists it as uncharacterized. Lineage: Eukaryota; Metazoa; Mollusca; Cephalopoda; Octopoda; Octopodidae. The record is from RefSeq and is a predicted model, not a curated record. The transcript has 3 exons.
CAUGUACUAGCAUGUGGGCGCUCUGAGCUGACUAUGGUGUAUUAAAACCUUUUUGUGUUAAACAAGAAUUUUUGUCCUUGACAAACUGCUGUGAAAAGCCGUUAUGGGUUC